RNAcentral lists this unclassified non-coding RNA (391 nucleotides) under fungal sp. RNAcentral's name for it is "partial internal transcribed spacer region". The stretch from base 1 to 46 matches the Rfam family "Eukaryotic small subunit ribosomal RNA". The record is from RNAcentral. Lineage: Eukaryota; Fungi.
AAGUCGUAACAAGAUUUCCGUAGGUGAACCUGCGGAAGAGUCAUUAACACGUAUCCAAACGUUAAAACCCUCCCCGUGAACCUUCAUCCUGCUCUUGUAACCCGCGUAGUUCGCAAUCUCUGAUAAAUCAUAGCCCGGAAAGUUGAAGUGAUUCAGAGACCUCUGGCUACGUGCGAACAUUAGAACAGUUACAAUCGAGCGGUAGUUCUAUAGGCAAGCAGUCAGUGUCAGAAAGUGUCAUGGAUUGUGCAAGGAUAGCGCUUCUAGAGCUUACACUUGGGCAGGAGCUUUGCCAAAGGGUCCCCAUGCCCCCUAAUAACCCCACAGUUUAAUGUGAAAUACAUUGGGUAAAAAAACCGAACAACUGUUAACAAUGGAUAUCUUGGUGCUG